This 1047-nucleotide long non-coding RNA is filed under the name Rhinopithecus bieti (black snub-nosed monkey). Its description in RNAcentral is "lncRNA (ENSRBIG00000045883.1)". Lineage: Eukaryota; Metazoa; Chordata; Mammalia; Primates; Cercopithecidae. The record is from RNAcentral.
CAAAAUGGAAAAUUAUCAAAGCUUUCUAGAGUGGUUCUAGUGCGCAGCCAGGGUACACAAUCCCUGUUCUUCAUUCUCCUAGUUCUUUGUUAGACAAAGCGAGGUACAAGCCUGAAGUGCUGAAAAGUUAAUUGGCGAACCCAGGCCUGAAGGGUUCCUCACCCUGUAGGCUCUGCCAAGGCCUGAGUAUGAUGCUGUGGGUGAUUCACUGCCCAGAAGAUGGAGGGCCUGGGUCAGGACCAGCCUGGACUAUAAGAAGAUAGAAUCCAGUGCAUUCUACACAAUAUGAAUGAAAGAGAGUGAAGAAAGUUGCUCAGUGAAUCUGCUGCAGCAGGAGAACUUUUUCUGUGCUGUAUGGAGCACUUCAUGCUACUUCACCAAGGCUGACGUCAUGUGGAAAAUGGCCAGUGAUUUUCGUGUCCACCCUGGAGUGUGAAAAGAAACAUCAAUUCAGGCUAGACCAAAGAAGCCACCCACAAGGAGUCCCUGGAUGUGAAGGUGAGAAAAUACACAGAGAUUCUCUAAAAGCCAGAAAGCUACUUAUAGUAGUUGAAGCAAGUAUCAGCAAAAAUAGAAUAACAAAUGAGAAGAAGCUGAAGUUGUCUACCUUCUGGUCCCUCUUCCUUCUUUCCUGUUCUGCCCAGAUUUUAGAAUCGACUGCAGUGAUGAGAGGAGGUCUAGAGGGAACUGAUCCAAACAGCUGAUGUCUGUGGCAAGGCUGCAAGGCCACUGUCCUUAAGAGUUCUUUAUAUAAGUUUUGGUGAGGCUCACUGCUAUAAGCUAUGAAGAUGAAAUGCCAGUGGCUCAGAAUGGAGUUUACUUGUCUCUCAUGUGAAAGUCCCAAAUGGGCUUUCCUGGCCAGUGACUAACUCUCCUCUAUGCAGUUAUUCAGACUUCAGCCUUUUCCCUCCUAUGGCACCAUCCUUUUAAACUCCUGGGCUUUCAAAUUCUCCAGGCUUAUCUGCAUCAAGCCAGAGUGGGAAAGAGCAUGAAGGAAGAUGUGCAGGAAGUCUACAAGGGCCUGGCUUAGUAUCACACAUCACUCCC